GGAACUGAAACAUCUAAGUACCCCGAGGAAAAGAAAUCAACCGAGAUUCCCCCAGUAGCGGCGAGCGAACGGGGAGGAGCCCAGAGCCUGAAUCAGCAUGUGUGUUAGUGGAAGCGUCUGGAAAGGCGCGCGAUACAGGGUGACAGCCCCGUACACAAAAGCGCAUGUGCUGUGAGCUCGAUGAGUAGGGCGGGACACGUGGUAUCCUGUCUGAAUAUGGGGGGACCAUCCUCCAAGGCUAAAUACUCCUGACUGACCGAUAGUGAACCAGUACCGUGAGGGAAAGGCGAAAAGAACCCCGGCGAGGGGAGUGAAAAAGAACCUGAAACCGUGUACGUACAAGCAGUGGGAGCCCCACCACUAAGCCAGUGGUGAACUCCACAUACGCAUCCUUUGCUGAAGGCAAUGGUUAACGGAGCGAAAGCGACGUUCAACCGCAAAACAAGCAGAGGGGGCUUAGUGGUGGGGUGACUGCGUACCUUUUGUAUAAUGGGUCAGCGACUUAUAUUCUGUAGCAAGGUUAACCGUAUAGGGGAGCCGGAGGGAAACCGAGUCUUAAUUGGGCGUUAAGUUGCAGGGUAUAGACCCGAAACCCGGUGAUCUAGCCAUGGGCAGGUUGAAGGUUGGGUAACACUAACUGGAGGACCGAACCGACUAAUGUUGAAAAAUUAGCGGAUGACCUGUGGCUGGGGGUGAAAGGCCAAUCAAACCGGGAGAUAGCUGGUUCUCCCCGAAAGCUAUUUAGGUAGCGCCUCGUGAAUUCAUCUCCGGGGGUAGAGCACUGUUUCGGCUAGGGGGCCAUCCCGGCUUACCAACCCGAUGCAAACUGCGAAUACCGGAGAAUGUUAUCACGGGAGACACACGGCGGGUGCUAACGUCCGUCGUGAAGAGGGAAACAACCCAGACCGCCAGCUAAGGUCCCAAAGUCAUGGUUAAGUGGGAAACGAUGUGGGAAGGCCCAGACAGCCAGGAUGUUGGCUUAGAAGCAGCCAUCAUUUAAAGAAAGCGUAAUAGCUCACUGGUCGAGUCGGCCUGCGCGGAAGAUGUAACGGGGCUAAACCAUGCACCGAAGCUGCGGCAGCGA
Molecule: ribosomal RNA, 1084 nt
Filed under: Salmonella enterica subsp. enterica serovar Thompson
Lineage: Bacteria; Pseudomonadati; Pseudomonadota; Gammaproteobacteria; Enterobacterales; Enterobacteriaceae
Description: bacterial LSU rRNA
Rfam family: Bacterial large subunit ribosomal RNA
Source: RNAcentral